This 482-nucleotide ribosomal RNA is filed under the name uncultured bacterium. Its description in RNAcentral is "partial 16S ribosomal RNA". It matches the Rfam family "Bacterial small subunit ribosomal RNA", at positions 30 to 507 of the family's 1533-position model. The record is from RNAcentral.
AUUGAACGCUGGCGGCAUGCUUUACACAUGCAAGUCGAACGGUAACAGGCCGCCAGGUGCUGACGAGUGGCGAACGGGUGAGUAAUGCAUCGGAACGUGCCCAGUCGUGGGGGAUAACUACUCGCAAGAGUAGCUAAUACCGCAUACGAUCUAUGGAUGAAAGCGGGGGACCGUAAGGCCUCGCGCGAUUGGAGCGGCCGAUGUCAGAUUAGGUAGUUGGUGGGGUAAAGGCUCACCAAGCCAACGAUCUGUAGCUGGUCUGAGAGGACGACCAGCCACACUGGGACUGAGACACGGCCCAGACUCCUACGGGAGGCAGCAGUGGGGAAUUUUGGACAAUGGGCGCAAGCCUGAUCCAGCAAUGCCGUGUGCAGGAAGAAGGCCUUCGGGUUGUAAACUGCUUUUGUACGGAACGAAACGGCUCUGGUUAAUACCCGGGGCUAAUGACGGUACCGUAAGAAUAAGCACCGGCUAACUACGUG